CUGGGCAGACCUGGUACCUAUCAUCACGGACAGAACCAGGAAGCAACAGGAAAAGAAGGAAACGUAUAUGAUGGUCUUUGUUACUUCUACUACACACACUGUCCGUUAGUGUAGUGAUUUAAAAAAAAAUCCUUAUUAAAACUGGAAACUUGUUAGAAACAGGUUUUAAUCGGUGGUGCACUAAAUAACUAUACGUUUUAGGUAGGUCUUUUUAAAAUAUCGGGUUCAGUUCAGCUGUUGGGUGGGUAUAAUUUGUUGAACGUUUCAACAGGAAUCUGUUCCAAAAACUUCGUAAAUAGCAAGGUUGCCUACAAAUAACGCAUACAAAGUUGCGGCAGUAUUGCUGCAGAAUAUGAUACCUAUUAGGUAGUAUACUAAUUCAUUACGUUUUUCACUCGCCAUGAUUAUUCCGAAAAAAUGUCUGUCCUCACUCUGGUAGCCUAUUGACAAACAUUAAGAAUACGUUACGUGGUGAGUUUGCCUAUAUGGCAGCUAUUUCGCUAACGUUAGGUGAAUUGAUAAUGUUACUUUGUAGGCAUUUGUUGGCAACCGUGUACUUUACGAAGUUUUUGGAACAGAUUCCUGUUUUAACGUUCCACAAAUGAUACCCACCCGUAUUCAGGGCUGAUGGGAUCAGGAUGACCCGAUGGCUGUCUACAGCUAUCCCAUGUGUAAGGAAAGCUUCAUUCCCAGGCCUGUUCUGAAGAAAAACACUCUUCUGGCUGAAUUGGUGGAAAACUAAAGAAAACAGGACCCUGAGCUGCUCCUCCAGCUCGCUGUUAAACUGGACCUGGAAAUGUAGAGUGUGACGUCUGCACUGGGAGAACUCAAAGCAGUCAAGUCCUGUCUGGUGUGUCUGGCCUCUUACUGUGAGACUCAUCUCAAACUCACAAUAAAUCACCUGCCUUUAAGAAGCACAAACUGGUCAAAGCAUUGACACAACUACAGGAGAAAAUAUAAUCUCAUCAUGACAAACUGCUAGAGAUGUACUGCUGUACCUGUGUACGAUGGAUGAACAUAAAGGCCAUGAUGCUGGUUCAGCUGCACCAGAAAGGAUAGAGAAACUGGAUAGGAACCCCACUGUAAGAUCUCACACAGGCUAUUUACAAAAAUGUGUCUAUCUUCUAGCUGUAUACAUCAUCUAAACAGAUAGCAUGCCACCCCACACUAUUUAAUUUCAGCCUAAACUAUAUGUAUACAUGGUCUCUCAUUAAGUUCACAUAGGGCUGUUUGAUGUAUUAGACAGUACAUUUGUUUCAAUGUGGUAUGAUGUAUUUCUCUGCACAAACACAUUGGGAAGAAUCAUCAGAAAUUCAACCAGAUAAUCCAGGAAAGAGAGGAGGAGAUACAGGAGCUGAGACAGGCUGUGGAAUAUCUAAAGGACUCUGCACAGGCAGCAGUGGAGGACAGUGAGAGGAUCUUUACUGAGCUGAUCCACUCUAUUAAAACAAGGCACUCAGGUGAAGGAGCCGAACAGAGCCCAGGAGAAGGCUGAAGUGAGUUGGGCUGAAGGACUCCUGGAGCAACUGGAGCAGGAGGUGGCUGAGCUGAGGAGGAAAGAUGCUGAUAUAAAGCAGCUCUCUCACACAGAGGUCCACAUCCAUUUCCUCCAGGUGACAACCUAGGUUACAUCACUGGUUCUUUACAGGCCUGAGCAGUCUCACAUGAUCCCUGAAUACCAAAUCAUCCCAUACAUAGGCGCGUGUGUAGAUCAGAGAGGAUUGGAUAGGUAAGGCAAUAUGGUGUUUGCUCCAUCUUGUCCUCUGAAAGACCAUGUGGAAUUGUUGUCAUUUUAUGGGACACCUGUCUAAUUUUCCCUGAUCUCAAAAAGUUUUAGAUUGUAAAUGCCUUUGCUUCUCAGUCUUUUUCUUUCAUUUAUUUAUCUCUCAGUAGUUUCCAGUCUCUCUGUGUCCUUCCUGGAUCUGAAGCCUUACCCAGCAUCUCUGUCAACUCACACAAAUCUUAUGAUUUAUGAUGAAGAAAUGUGUCUCUGACCUGAAAAAGCCACUACUAAACUUGAUGAAAAAGAACAUGGUGAAGAUAUCUGGAGCAGUGAAAAAGGUUUACAUUGUUCCACUUACUGAUCCCAAUACCAGAGAGUUCUUGAAAUACUCCCGCUGGCUCACUUUGGAUCCAGACCCAGCCAAUGAGUACCUCUGGCUGUCUGAGGGGAACAGAAAGGGGAUAUGUAGAAGAGUCUCAGUCCUAUCCUUACCAUCCAGACAGAUUUAUCAACAUUGACUGGUGUUGUGUAGAAAGGGUAUGUCUGGAGCCUGCUACUGGGAAGUAGAGUGGAGCAGGGAGAGAGUUGAAGUAGCUGUCUCAUACAAAAGCAUCAGCAGGGAUAGAGAGGAAUAUGAGAGUUAUUUUCGAUGGAAUGAUCAGUUCUGGUGUUUGAACUGCAACCCACCCAUUCACACUUUCUGGCACAAUCAAAACAUGACGGAUAUCCCUGUCCCCUGCCCCUCCAGAGUAGGAGUGUACAUGGACCACAGGGCAGGAACUCUGUCCUUUUAGUGUCUCUGACACAAUGACCCUCCUCCACAGAGUUCUGACCACACUCACACAGCGUUUGGGUUUUAUUAUGAUGACUCAUCUGUGAGGAUACUGACACCUAUUCAAUGAUAAGCAUAUACAGUUUAGUUAUUCACACACAAAACAACUAGUGAAAGACAUACAGUGCAGGUGACGUUGGAAACCAGAGGAUUUAUAUGAAAACCACAACAGCAGCAAAAAUAUGUAUAUGAAAACCACAAAAUGAUAUGUUACAAAACAGAUUGUUCAAUCAACAAAUAUGUAUAAGCAAAUUAAGUAUAAACAAAGUGUAAACAAAUGAGUCAUAUGUGCACUUCAAUGGUGGAGGGAAUGAUGGUGAAGUCUGAGAGGGUAGUAGUCAAUUAUACAUACUUGAUUAUUAAGUUGCUUGGCUGUUUCACUAUAACUGAAAUCUGUGUUUUCGGGACGUUAGAAAAUAUUUGUAAUAAAACUAAUACUGUAUAUUGAUUAUGUGCCUUCGUGAAGAUAACUGCUUGAUUGUAUUGUAUCAUGUUUGUGUUAAAUGAUGUAGAAUAAACUUGAAAUGGAGGU
Oncorhynchus mykiss (rainbow trout) is the source of this 3087-nucleotide non-coding RNA. Lineage: Eukaryota; Metazoa; Chordata; Actinopteri; Salmoniformes; Salmonidae. The record is from RefSeq and is a predicted model, not a curated record.